UCAACAUAAAAAUAACUACUUAUUAACUUUUCAUUGGUCAACAAACAAGAGGUUUAGCUCAUGAUGAGUUGAGUACAACUUACAAAGUUGGUUCUGAAAGGAAACAUUCUUAAACAAAAGAUGAAGCAACCUAAGAGUAACGUGAAGCUUCUUUGUGGUGGAUAACCAGAGUGAUGACUUCAGUCAUGCCAUGCUUCAGCAGUUAGCACUAGAAUAGGCGAGAAGAUGAAACUCUCUCUUCUCUCCACUCUUUCUUACAAUAAUAUUCUCAAUUAUUUUCUCUAAGAU
This 288-nucleotide long non-coding RNA is filed under the name Lathyrus oleraceus (garden pea). RNAcentral describes it as "Pisum sativum (pea) long non-coding RNA (PSAT_LNC001535)". Lineage: Eukaryota; Viridiplantae; Streptophyta; Magnoliopsida; Fabales; Fabaceae. The record is from RNAcentral.